RNAcentral lists this long non-coding RNA (336 nucleotides) under Dromaius novaehollandiae (emu). Its description in RNAcentral is "lncRNA (ENSDNVG00000000212.1)". The record is from RNAcentral. Lineage: Eukaryota; Metazoa; Chordata; Aves; Casuariiformes; Dromaiidae.
AGAAUUUAAAUUUAGGAGUGCACUCAAGUUACUAGGCAUGGUGUCACAGGGAUGCUGCCUGGUGUCCAGAAGAGGAAGAUGCUGCAAGACUUUCUUCUUCAUAUCCUUCCAGAUGCCCCAGGUGUCUACAUGAACACUGGCUCUGAAAGAACUUGUCAGCUCAUCUCAUCCCAUCUGAGAAAUGGAGACAAAGAGUUGAACCCUGGACUGUCUCCUGUCUCAGGGAUGACUACUCAAGCCCACCUUCCAAGUUUAUCCACAAGGACACAGCUAUUUGGAAGUGGCCUUUGCUCAGACAAAUCCUUCCAGAAAGCUUUCAUUGCCAUCCUGCAAUAA